RNAcentral lists this ribosomal RNA (301 nucleotides) under uncultured bacterium. RNAcentral's name for it is "partial 16S ribosomal RNA". It matches the Rfam family "Bacterial small subunit ribosomal RNA", at positions 509 to 807 of the family's 1533-position model. The record is from RNAcentral.
CAGUCGCCGCGGUAAUACAGAGGGUGCGAGCGUUAAUCGGAUUUACUGGGCGUAAAGCGUGCGUAGGCGGCUAUUUAAGUCGGAUGUGAAAUCCCUGAGCUUAACUUAGGAAUUGCAUUCGAUACUGGGAAGCUAGAGUAUGGGAGAGGAUGGUAGAAUUCCAGGUGUAGCGGUGAAAUGCGUAGAGAUCUGGAGGAAUACCGAUGGCGAAGGCAGCCAUCUGGCCUAAUACUGACGCUGAGGUACGAAAGCAUGGGGAGCAAACAGGAUUAGAUACCCCGGUAGUCCCUGUCUCUUAUAC